RNAcentral lists this ribosomal RNA (468 nucleotides) under uncultured bacterium. RNAcentral describes it as "partial 16S ribosomal RNA". It matches the Rfam family "Bacterial small subunit ribosomal RNA", at positions 28 to 507 of the family's 1533-position model. The record is from RNAcentral.
GACGAACGCUGGCGGCGUGCUUAACACAUGCAAGUCGAACGGAAAGGCCCUGCUUUUGUGGGGUGCUCGAGUGGCGAACGGGUUAGUAACACGUGAGUAACCUGCCCUUGACUUUGGGAUAACUUCAGGAAACUGGGGCUAAUACCGGAUAGGAGCUCCUGCUGCAUGGUGGGGGUUGGAAAGUUUCGGCGGUUGGGGAUGGACUCGCGGCUUAUCAGCUUGUUGGUGGGGUAGUGGCUUACCAAGGCUUUGACGGGUAGCCGGCCUGAGAGGGUGACCGGCCACAUUGGGACUGAGAUACGGCCGAGACUCAUACGGGAGGCAGCAGUGGGGAAUAUUGCACAAUGGGCGGAAGCCUGAUGCAGCAACGCCGCGUGCGGGAUGACGGCCUUCGGGUUGUAAACCGCUUUCGCCUGUGACGAAGCGUGAGUGACGGUAAUGGGUAAAGAAGCACCGGCUAACUACGUG